Molecule: long non-coding RNA, 1032 nt
Organism: Corylus avellana
Lineage: Eukaryota; Viridiplantae; Streptophyta; Magnoliopsida; Fagales; Betulaceae
Source: RefSeq, a predicted model, not a curated record
ACCCAAAAAUUCGGUGACGCACUCGAAACGUUUUGGAUGAAGAUCUCAGCGGCAUUCCUCUCCAAAUAGCGACACUUUUGUAUCCGAGACUCGGCGUUUUUCGUUGACGGCGAUUGCACUGAUUGGAAUCAUAGCUUGAUUUCACCAUCUUCCUAUAUAUGAUCAUUUGUGCCUAGUAGCACCGUCCCAAAUCCAAUCAAUGAGACACCUGCCGGAGGAAACCCAUCCAUAAUCCAGCAUGAUUUCUUCAUGCACGAUCCCUCCUAUACCUAAAGAACAUAAUUUUUUUUGACCCCAAAUAUCUGAUUGCUUAGAUUUUGUCACCGGAAUUUUCAUGCCAUAUUCCACGAUCUAUUGUUCUUGCCACUCGAUUCUCGCUCAGUUUCCUUGACCUUGUGAAAACCUAAAUCCUAAAUCUCUAAACCCUAAACCCUAAAUCUCUUAAAAGAUCUUUUUUCAUCAUCCUAACCUUCAAGUCAGAUCUGGGUUCUUUUCCAUUGAAUGGCUGUUUCAACGGGGCCUGCGCUUGGUAGUGGAAGUGGAUGAGAUCAUAACCUACCAUUUGUUGAGGAAGUUUAGGGGUGAAGUGCUCUGCCUUGGAAUGGUGGUGCCCAGGAGUCUAUUUUUUAUGAUGAAAAGGCUCCUAUCCUAGCUAGGAAAACCAGGGCUGAUUUGGAGAACCUUUACGUUUGAACAAAGCUAAAGAAACCGAGAAAAAAUCAAUUGGCAAGGACAGGAGUUUGUGGCACCUGGCAUGAAAAAUGAAAAUACUUGUGACAAAGUCUAUGAUAUUAUUAAGAGCGAGAAUGUUAUUGGGUUCAAGAAUUCUUUUCUUCCACGGUAAAGGAGGGAUCGUGUAUGAAGAAAUCUAGCUGGAUUAUGUACGAGUUCUGUCUUGGCGGUGUUUCAUUGAUUGGGUAGCAAGAAAAGUGCAACAACUUGCUUCUAUGUGCUAUUCAAAAGAAAUUAUCAGAUACAGGAUGAGUAAGAUUUUUAGAAAAUCAGUCUUUAUUGCCAUAGGAUUUGAGGCUC